This 576-nucleotide ribosomal RNA is filed under the name uncultured eukaryote. RNAcentral describes it as "SSU rRNA". It matches the Rfam family "Eukaryotic small subunit ribosomal RNA", at positions 1212 to 1820 of the family's 1831-position model. The record is from RNAcentral.
AACUUACCAGGUCCAGACAUAGUGAGGAUGACCAGAUUGAUAGCUCUUUCUUGAUUCUAUGGGUGGUGGUGCAUGGCCGUUCUAAGUUGGUGGAGUGAAUUGUCUGGUAAUUCCGUAAACGACGAGACUUAAGCCUGCUAACUAGUCGAGCCAAUCUCCGAUUGGCGGCGACUUAUAGAGGGACUUUGUGGCUCCAAACACAAGGAAGUUUGAGGCAAUAACAGGUCUGUGAUGCCCUUAGAUGUCCUGGGCCGCACGCGUGCUACACUGACGCAUACAGCGAGUACAUCCCAGCUCCGCGAGGCAGCUGGUAAUCAGCAAUAUGCGUCGUGAUGGGGAUAGAUCUUUGGAAUUAUAGAUCUUGAACGAGGAAUUCCUAGUAGGCGCAAGUCAUUACCUUGCGCCGAUUAAGUCCCUGCCCUUUGUACACACCGCCCGUCGCUCCUACCGAUUUCGAGUGGUCCGGUGAACCUUUUGGACUGCGCGCGGCCUCGUGCCGCGGGCGGAAAAUCAAGUAAACCAUAUCACUUAGAGGAAGGAGAAGUCGUAACAAGGUUUCCGUAGGUGAACCUGCAG